AAUAGUACCCGGGUAGUCCACGCCGUAAACGAUGAGUGCUAAGUGUUAGAGGGUUUCCGCCCUUUAGUGCUGCAGCUAACGCAUUAAGCACUCCGCCUGGGGAGUACGGCCGCAAGGCUGAAACUCAAAGGAAUUGACGGGGGCCCGCACAAGCGGUGGAGCAUGUGGUUUAAUUCGAAGCAACGCGAAGAACCUUACCAGGUCUUGACAUCCUCUGCCAACCCUAGAGAUAGGGCGUUCCCCUUCGGGGGACAGAGUGACAGGUGGUGCAUGGUUGUCGUCAGCUCGUGUCGUGAGAUGUUGGGUUAAGUCCCGCAACGAGCGCAACCCUUGAUCUUAGUUGCCAGCAUUCAGUUGGGCACUCUAAGGUGACUGCCGGUGACAAACCGGAGGAAGGUGGGGAUGACGUCAAAUCAUCAUGCCCCUUAUGACCUGGGCUACACACGUGCUACAAUGGAUGGUACAAAGAGCUGCGAACCCGCGAGGGUAAGCCAAUCUCAUAAAGCCAUUCUCAGUUCGGA
Molecule: ribosomal RNA, 521 nt
Filed under: uncultured bacterium
Lineage: Bacteria
Description: bacterial SSU rRNA
Rfam family: Bacterial small subunit ribosomal RNA
Source: RNAcentral